GGUUAAGCGACUAAGCGUACACGGUGGAUGCCCUGGCAGUCAGAGGCGAUGAAGGACGUGCUAAUCUGCGAUAAGCGUCGGUAAGGUGAUAUGAACCGUUAUAACCGGCGAUUUCCGAAUGGGGAAACCCAGUGUGUUUCGACACACUAUCAUUAACUGAAUCCAUAGGUUAAUGAGGCGAACCGGGGGAACUGAAACAUCUAAGUACCCCGAGGAAAAGAAAUCAACCGAGAUUCCCCCAGUAGCGGCGAGCGAACGGGGAGCAGCCCAGAGCCUGAAUCAGUGUGUGUGUUAGUGGAAGCGUCUGGAAAGGCGCGCGAUACAGGGUGACAGCCCCGUACACAAAAAUGCACAUGCUGUGAGCUCGAUGAGUAGGGCGGGACACGUGGUAUCCUGUCUGAAUAUGGGGGGACCAUCCUCCAAGGCUAAAUACUCCUGACUGACCGAUAGUGAACCAGUACCGUGAGGGAAAGGCGAAAAGAACCCCGGCGAGGGGAGUGAAAAAGAACCUGAAACCGUGUACGUACAAGCAGUGGGAGCACGCUUCGGCGUGUGACUGCGUACCUUUUGUAUAAUGGGUCAGCGACUUAUAUUCUGUAGCAAGGUUAACCGAAUAGGGGAGCCGAAGGGAAACCGAGUCUUAACUGGGCGUUAAGUUGCAGGGUAUAGACCCGAAACCCGGUGAUCUAGCCAUGGGCAGGUUGAAGGUUGGGUAACACUAACUGGAGGACCGAACCGACUAAUGUUGAAAAAUUAGCGGAUGACUUGUGGCUGGGGGUGAAAGGCCAAUCAAACCGGGAGAUAGCUGGUUCUCCCCGAAAGCUAUUUAGGUAGCGCCUCGUGAAUUCAUCUCCGGGGGUAGAGCACUGUUUCGGCAAGGGGGUCAUCCCGACUUACCAACCCGAUGCAAACUGCGAAUACCGGAGAAUGUUAUCACGGGAGACACACGGCGGGUGCUAACGUCCGUCGUGAAGAGGGAAACAACCCAGACCGCCAGCUAAGGUCCCAAAGUCAUGGUUAAGUGGGAAACGAUGUGGGAAGGCCCAGACAGCCAGGAUGUUGGCUUAGAAGCAGCCAUCAUUUAAAGAAAGCGUAAUAGCUCACUGGUCGAGUCGGCCUGCGCGGAAGAUGUAACGGGGCUAAACCAUGCACCGAAGCUGCGGCAGCGACGCUGAUGCGUUGUUGGGUAGGGGAGCGUUCUGUAAGCCUGCGAAGGUGUGCUGUGAGGCAUGCUGGAGGUAUCAGAAGUGCGAAUGCUGACAUAAGUAACGAUAAAGCGGGUGAAAAGCCCGCUCGCCGGAAGACCAAGGGUUCCUGUCCAACGUUAAUCGGGGCAGGGUGAGUCGACCCCUAAGGCGAGGCCGAAAGGCGUAGUCGAUGGGAAACAGGUUAAUAUUCCUGUACUUGGUGUUACUGCGAAGGGGGGACGGAGAAGGCUAUGUUGGCCGGGCGACGGUUGUCCCGGUUUAAGCGUGUAGGCUGGUUUUCCAGGCAAAUCCGGAAAAUCAAGGCUGAGGCGUGAUGACGAGGCACUACGGUGCUGAAGCAACAAAUGCCCUGCUUCCAGGAAAAGCCUCUAAGCAUCAGGUAACAUCAAAUCGUACCCCAAACCGACACAGGUGGUCAGGUAGAGAAUACCAAGGCGCUUGAGAGAACUCGGGUGAAGGAACUAGGCAAAAUGGUGCCGUAACUUCGGGAGAAGGCACGCUGAUAUGUAGGUGAAGUCCCUUGCGGAUGGAGCUGAAAUCAGUCGAAGAUACCAGCUGGCUGCAACUGUUUAUUAAAAACACAGCACUGUGCAAACACGAAAGUGGACGUAUACGGUGUGACGCCUGCCCGGUGCCGGAAGGUUAAUUGAUGGGGUCAGCGCAAGCGAAGCUCUUGAUCGAAGCCCCGGUAAACGGCGGCCGUAACUAUAACGGUCCUAAGGUAGCGAAAUUCCUUGUCGGGUAAGUUCCGACCUGCACGAAUGGCGUAAUGAUGGCCAGGCUGUCUCCACCCGAGACUCAGUGAAAUUGAACUCGCUGUGAAGAUGCAGUGUACCCGCGGCAAGACGGAAAGACCCCGUGAACCUUUACUAUAGCUUGACACUGAACAUUGAGCCUUGAUGUGUAGGAUAGGUGGGAGGCUUGGAAGUGUGGACGCCAGUCUGCAUGGAGCCGACCUUGAAAUACCACCCUUUAAUGUUUGAUGUUCUAACGUUGACCCGUAAUCCGGGUUGCGGACAGUGUCUGGUGGGUAGUUUGACUGGGGCGGUCUCCUCCUAAAGAGUAACGGAGGAGCACGAAGGUUGGCUAAUCCUGGUCGGACAUCAGGAGGUUAGUGCAAUGGCAUAAGCCAGCUUGACUGCGAGCGUGACGGCGCGAGCAGGUGCGAAAGCAGGUCAUAGUGAUCCGGUGGUUCUGAAUGGAAGGGCCAUCGCUCAACGGAUAAAAGGUACUCCGGGGAUAACAGGCUGAUACCGCCCAAGAGUUCAUAUCGACGGCGGUGUUUGGCACCUCGAUGUCGGCUCAUCACAUCCUGGGGCUGAAGUAGGUCCCAAGGGUAUGGCUGUUCGCCAUUUAAAGUGGUACGCGAGCUGGGUUUAGAACGUCGUGAGACAGUUCGGUCCCUAUCUGCCGUGGGCGCUGGAGAACUGAGGGGGGCUGCUCCUAGUACGAGAGGACCGGAGUGGACGCAUCACUGGUGUUCGGGUUGUCAUGCCAAUGGCACUGCCCGGUAGCUAAAUGCGGAAGAGAUAAGUGCUGAAAGCAUCUAAGCACGAAACUUGCC
RNAcentral lists this ribosomal RNA (2772 nucleotides) under Escherichia coli. RNAcentral's name for it is "partial 23S ribosomal RNA". It matches the Rfam family "Bacterial large subunit ribosomal RNA". Lineage: Bacteria; Pseudomonadati; Pseudomonadota; Gammaproteobacteria; Enterobacterales; Enterobacteriaceae. The record is from RNAcentral.